UUCGCAGUUCAUCAAAUAUUAAUUUGAUUUAUUUCGUUUAGGGCAUAAAAUAAAGAUAAUAAAAUAUACAUAGUGAUAAACAUGAAAUAUUUAUGAUUGUAAUUUACGAAACGCAAUGACAAAAAUUCACGAUUAAAACAAAGUCUUAAAUUAAUUCGACAAUUAUUUUAUUUUUAUAAACAAUAAAAACUAUAGAAAUGGUUACUUGCGUCUAUUAUUUUUUAUAAAAAGACAUUUUUUUUAUUCUAAUUUAUUAUUAAGAACACAAAUAGACGCAAUAGCAACUAUAUAUUAUUGUUGAAUUAUGCCAAAAAAGUUCUAUUGAUUUAAUAUUAUCGUCAUCGAUUAACGUCAUUGAUUAACGUCAUCGAUUAUAAAAAUUCUGCCGAUUUUCACACCUAUGUAAACUGUAAAAAAUAUAUAAAAAGUAAAAGUUAACUAAUUUUUUAUCAAAGUUGUCAAACAAGUAGUCACUCGUGAAAUAGUAAAUCAUGAUUUCGUUAAUAUUAAUAAAAUUGCUUCUAAUAUUUGUGUCGAGUACAAUUUCACAGCCUACACUGCUAUGGAAUUCGACACUAACUGCACGAGCUAUCGAGCCUUUAGUUCGAGAUAAUUCAGGAUCACUGACCAAUCAAAGAACUAAAUAUCAAACCUUCAAUGAUAAUACUAAUUUUGGUAUAAUAAUUAAACAAGGUACAACAUUUAGCUUAACGGUAGAGACACCUUCCAAAAUAGAAGAUUUAAAGUUUUUCUGUUUCCCUUAUCCACAACAUGAAAAAAAAUUAAUCAAAUUAAAUCUUACCGGAAAAACAAAUUGCACAAAUACAUUAACAACAAAUUAUGAUUGUGUACCUAUGGUAUCCGCAUCAAAAAAUGUUCCAUUACGGAUGAUAAUUGAAACCAAAAACUGGUUUCCAUUGUCAACUAACAAUUCUAAUGAUGUGUCACUUCCAAAAUCACAAGGAAAAGGAAUUUCACACAAAAUAGAAAAUAAUUUAAAAUAUUCAUUUCAUGCAUUAGGUUAUAAUGAUUUGGAAUUUUUAACAAUAUUGAUAAAUUACAAGAACAUGACAAUAGAAUUACAACAAUUGCAAAAAAAAAUUCAUGGGAACUUUCAACAAGAAGUAUAUUUUUGGAUCAGUUUAGAACGAAAUGGUUUAUCAAUUUUUGAGUAUAAAUUUUUAGGUUGUCCCCCAUGUGGUACAAAGCUUAUUAAUGCGGUGGAAAAAUUUGAGUUAAAUGAUGUAAUUCAUUUUUAUCAUGCCGAACCAGGUCGUUUUAAAUCAAAUCUCGAAGGAUUAAAUUAUAAAAAAACAAGUAAUACUUUUAUUUUAUCAAAUACAGGUUUGGAGACCUUAAAAUAAAAUGGAACAGAAUUAAAUAAUUUAAAAUAAUCAUUCGAUGCUUUAGUUCUUGUUGAUAAGAUGUUUUUAAAAAUAUUUUUUGUAGUGUAGCACAUAGCCAUAAUUUUGUUUUAACACAGUAGGGUUUGCGCCAUGCCACAUUAAUGAUAUGAUUCUUACAAUAAUUUUUUUUAAUGCAAUAAAAUUGUUAAAUUUAAUUUGGAAUUGAAAAUAGUUUUAAGUUACAAUGCAUUAUAUUAACAUUAAUUUGCAAAUUAUAUUCGUACAUUGCGGUUUUAAUGACUUGGAAGCGUACACUCAAAUGAAAUUGGGAUGAAAACUAGAUUAAUUAAGUCUAGUAUAAAUUACAUACAUAAACUAUGAAAUAUACUAUAAUAGAAUGUUUAUUAAACAAUAUUAAUAAUACAACUUAUGUUAAUUUAUGUAUUAUGAGAAAUAUAUAAUUUACAAUAAAUAUAUAAAAUAUACAUAACUAUUA
Long non-coding RNA from Leptopilina boulardi, 1842 nucleotides. RefSeq lists it as uncharacterized. The record is from RefSeq and is a predicted model, not a curated record. Lineage: Eukaryota; Metazoa; Arthropoda; Insecta; Hymenoptera; Figitidae. The transcript has 2 exons.